GCAUGCAAGUCGAACGAUAGUCCUUCGGGGCUAUAGUGGCGGACGGGUGAGUAACGCGUAGGAAUCUACCCCUGGAUGGGGAAUAACUCAGAGAAAUCUGGGCUAAUACCGCAUAAUCUCUACGGAGAAAAGGUCGUAACUGAUCGUCGAGGGAGGAGCCUGCGUCCUAUCAGCUUGUUGGUGAGGUAAAAGCUCACCAAGGCGAUGACGGGUAGGGGGUGUGAGAGCACGGCCCCCCACAAGGUCACUGAUACACGGGGCCUACACCUACGGGUGGCAGCAACUGGGAAUAUUGCGCAAUGGGCGAAAGCCUGACGCAGCGACGCCGCGUGCGGGAUGAAGACCUUCGGGUUGUAAACCGCUGUGGAGAGGGAAGAUAAUGACGGUACCUCUCUAGAAAGCACCUGCUAACUACGUGCCAGAAGCCUCGGUGAGACGUAGGGUGCAAGCAUUAUCCGGAUUUAUUGGGCGUAAAGAGUAUCGUAGGCGGUUUUGUAAGUGGUCGGUGAAAUCCUCUGGCUCAACCAGAGAACUGCCGAUCAUUACUGCGAAACUAGAGUGACUUCGGGAAGGCUGGAAUUCUCGGGUGUAGGGGUGAAAUCCGUUGAUAUCGAGAAGAACACCAAGGGCGAAGGCAGGCCUUUA
Molecule: ribosomal RNA, 645 nt
Filed under: uncultured bacterium
Lineage: Bacteria
Description: bacterial SSU rRNA
Rfam family: Bacterial small subunit ribosomal RNA
Source: RNAcentral